GACCGAACCGACUAAUGUUGAAAAAUUAGCGGAUGACUUGUGGCUGGGGGUGAAAGGCCAAUCAAACCGGGAGAUAGCUGGUUCUCCCCGAAAGCUAUUUAGGUAGCGCCUCGUGAAUUCAUCUCCGGGGGUAGAGCACUGUUUCGGCAAGGGGGUCAUCCCGACUUACCAACCCGAUGCAAACUGCGAAUACCGGAGAAUGUUAUCACGGGAGACACACGGCGGGUGCUAACGUCCGUCGUGAAGAGGGAAACAACCCAGACCGCCAGCUAAGGUCCCAAAGUCAUGGUUAAGUGGGAAACGAUGUGGGAAGGCCCAGACAGCCAGGAUGUUGGCUUAGAAGCAGCCAUCAUUUAAAGAAAGCGUAAUAGCUCACUGGUCGAGUCGGCCUGCGCGGAAGAUGUAACGGGGCUAAACCAUGCACCGAAGCUGCGGCAGCGACGCUUAUGCGUUGUUGGGUAGGGGAGCGUUCUGUAAGCCUGCGA
Molecule: ribosomal RNA, 485 nt
Filed under: Escherichia coli
Lineage: Bacteria; Pseudomonadati; Pseudomonadota; Gammaproteobacteria; Enterobacterales; Enterobacteriaceae
Description: partial 23S ribosomal RNA
Rfam family: Bacterial large subunit ribosomal RNA
Source: RNAcentral